RNAcentral lists this ribosomal RNA (472 nucleotides) under uncultured bacterium. RNAcentral describes it as "partial 16S ribosomal RNA". It matches the Rfam family "Bacterial small subunit ribosomal RNA", at positions 28 to 507 of the family's 1533-position model. The record is from RNAcentral.
GACGAACGCUGGCGGCGUGCUUAACACAUGCAAGUCGAACGCUGAAGCUUGGUGCUUGCACUGGGUGGCUGAGUGGCGAACGGGUGAGUAAUACGUGAGUAACCUGCCCUUGACUCUGGGAUAAGCCUGGGAAACUGGGUCUAAUACUGGAUACGACAUGUCACCGCAUGGUGGUGUGUGGAAAGGGUUUUACUGGUUUUGGAUGGGCUCACGGCCUAUCAGCUUGUUGGUGGGGUAAUGGCCCACCAAGGCGACGACGGGUAGCCGGCCUGAGAGGGUGACCGGCCACACUGGGACUGAGACACGGCCCAGACUCCUACGGGAGGCAGCAGUGGGGAAUAUUGCACAAUGGGCGGAAGCCUGAUGCAGCGACGCCGCGUGAGGGAUGACGGCCUUCGGGUUGUAAACCUCUUUCAGCACGGAAGAAGCGAAAGUGACGGUACGUGCAGAAGAAGCGCCGGCUAACUACGUG